UGCCAGACUCCUACGGGAGGCAGCAGUGGGGAAUAUUGCACAAUGGGGGAAACCCUGAUGCAGCAACGCCGCGUGAGUGAAGAAGUAUUUCGGUAUGUAAAGCUCUAUCAGCAGGGAGGAAAAUGACGGUACCUGAGUAAGAAGCCCCGGCUAACUACGUGCCAGCAGCCGCGGUAAUACGUAGGGGGCAAGCGUUAUCCGGAUUUACUGGGUGUAAAGGGAGCGUAGACGGCGAUACAAGUCUGAAGUGAAAGCCCGGGGCUCAACCCCGGGACUGCUUUGGAAACUGUGUUGCUGGAGUGCUGGAGAGGCAAGCGGAAUUUCUAGUGUAGCGGUGAAAUGCGUAGAUAUUAGGAAGAACACCAGUGGCGAAGGCGGCUUGCUGGACAGUAACUGACGUUGAGGCUCGAAAGCGUGGGGAGCAAACAGGAUUAGAUACCCUCGUAC
RNAcentral lists this ribosomal RNA (447 nucleotides) under uncultured bacterium. RNAcentral describes it as "bacterial SSU rRNA". It matches the Rfam family "Bacterial small subunit ribosomal RNA", at positions 329 to 793 of the family's 1533-position model. The record is from RNAcentral.